GACAGAGGGGGCAAGCGUUGUCCGGAGUUACUGGGCGUAAAGCGUCCGCAGGCGGUACGGUAAGUGGUGUGUGAAAGCGCGCAGCUCAACUGCGCGAGGCCAUGCCAGACUGCCGCACUCGAGUCCGGUAGAGGUUCGUCGAAUUGCCGGUGUAGUGGUGAAAUGCGUAGAGAUCGGCAGGAAGACCAAGGGUGAAGACAGCGAACUGGGCCGGUACUGACGCUGAAGGACGAAAGCGUGGGGAGCGAAC
RNAcentral lists this ribosomal RNA (250 nucleotides) under uncultured bacterium. Its description in RNAcentral is "partial 16S ribosomal RNA". It matches the Rfam family "Bacterial small subunit ribosomal RNA", at positions 524 to 773 of the family's 1533-position model. The record is from RNAcentral.